ACCUUUGCGCAGUGGCAGUAUCGUAGCCAAUGAGGUUUAUCCGAGGCGAGAUUAUUGCUAAUUAAAAAUCAAACCACACUAAGAUACAACCUUACGCCACUUAGAAUGGCAAAAAGUGACAAGGCAAGAAACAACAUUUGC
Molecule: small nuclear RNA, 141 nt
Organism: Ailuropoda melanoleuca (giant panda)
Lineage: Eukaryota; Metazoa; Chordata; Mammalia; Carnivora; Ursidae
Gene: U4
Rfam family: U4 spliceosomal RNA
About the family: U4 small nuclear RNA (U4 snRNA) is a component of the major U2-dependent spliceosome. The structure of U4 snRNA from yeast and human has been reported.
Source: Ensembl